UGAAAAUAUAAAAAGAUUAAGCAAGUCCAACAAACUUUAUAGAUUUGCCAGGUAGCUGCGUAAUGCCAACCACAUGACAUUUAUCUGUCACACAUGGCUUGUGACUGAGAAUAACACUUCCUAAACAUUGCAGGCGUCUCUUAUUAAUCUGGCAUACGGCUAAAUGAGAUUGCAGUUUUUGUUAGACGCUCUCCGGUAGUAUUGCUCUGGGUUUUGGCUGUUCCACAUCUGCCCCGUCUUUGAGAACUUUUAUCACCGAAGAACCAAAACCAGAGAGAGGCAAAGCAGGCUGCUCCCUAAGGCACAGAAGCACAACUAGCCCCAUGUUGCUCAAGGUCGGCUCUUAGCACCUUGGCUCUACUAGAUCCAGAUUGCUCACUUCCCUACAGAGACCCCCUAGCCUGCAAGGACGAGGACAAAACGCAUUGCAUUUAAAGUGACAGAUUAUGAUUUUAAUACACUUUCCGUGCACCACACUUAUGCCCAGAUCCUGCAACUAAUUCCACAGGGGUGGACCAUCAUGGACUGCAGGGCACAGGAUCUGCUCACACAGUUCUCAUUGCGGGGUAAAUACAUUAUAUUAUCCUACAGCCAUUCCACUGUAGUGGCUAUAGAGAGCAAUGAGAGAGUACAGAUUCUUCUGUCGCAUACACUGGCAUUGCAAGCUUCAUCACAGCAGAGGUCUAUCAGCACCAGCCUUGGAUCCUCCAGUCAGCUGAGCUUCCUCAUGGUGGUGUCCUGCCAGUCCCCGCUCCAGACUCUGGUGCUGCGAGCUUCCGAAGCAGCAGUGCCUUGUCAGUGCCAGCCCUGGACUCGAAUGUGAGCUUCUUCAACAGCAGUGUUGUGUCACGGGCUGUUGGGCCUCUUGUAAUCUGAGCUUCCGUUCUACUCUGCGUAUUAUUUAUGGCUUACAGAGCACCAUGGCUAUGUACGGUGCUUACAACACAGAUAAAGAUGGCUUCCCUUACCCAAA
This is a long non-coding RNA of Mauremys reevesii (Reeves's turtle), 973 nucleotides long. RefSeq lists it as uncharacterized. The transcript is spliced from 3 exons. The record is from RefSeq and is a predicted model, not a curated record. NCBI's taxonomy places the organism in Eukaryota, Metazoa, Chordata, Testudines, Geoemydidae.